GGCUUUAAUUAUUUAGCUUUUUGAGACAAUGUCUCACUACAUAGUUCAGGCUGGCCUUGGACUCACUAUGUAGACCAGACUGUCCUCAAACUCAUGAUGAUCCUCUUACCUC
Molecule: microRNA precursor, 112 nt
Filed under: Chinchilla lanigera (long-tailed chinchilla)
Lineage: Eukaryota; Metazoa; Chordata; Mammalia; Rodentia; Chinchillidae
Description: miRNA (ENSCLAG00000021934.1)
Source: RNAcentral